GACGAACGCUGGCGGCGUGCUUAACACAUGCAAGUCGAACGGAAAGGCCCUGCUUUUGUGGGGUGCUCGAGUGGCGAACGGGUGAGUAACACGUGAGUAACCUGCCCUUGACUUUGGGAUAACUUCAGGAAACUGGGGCUAAUACCGGAUAGGAGCUCCUGCUGCAUGGUGGGGGUUGGAAAGUUUCGGCGGUUGGGGAUGGACUCGCGGCUUAUCAGCUUGUUGGUGGGGUAGUGGCUUACCAAGGCUUUGACGGGUAGCCGGCCUGAGAGGGUGACCGGCCACAUUGGGACUGAGAUACGGCCCAGACUCCUACGGGAGGCAGCAGUGGGGAAGAUUACACAAUGGGCGGAAGCCUGAUGCAGCAACGCCGCGUGCGGGAUGACGGCCUUCGGGUUGUAAACCGCUUUCGCCUGUGACGAAGCGUGAGUGACGGUAAUGGGUAAAGAAGCACCGGCUAACUACGUG
Molecule: ribosomal RNA, 468 nt
Filed under: uncultured bacterium
Lineage: Bacteria
Description: partial 16S ribosomal RNA
Rfam family: Bacterial small subunit ribosomal RNA
Source: RNAcentral